GUAGAGCACUGAAUGGGCUAGGGGGCAUAGCGCUUACCGAACCUUAUCAAACUCCGAAUGCCACAUACUUUGAGCUCGGCAGUCAGACUACGAAUGAUAAGAUCCGUGGUCAAAAGGGAAACAGCCCAGAUCGUCAGCUAAGGUCCCAAAGUGUAAGUUAAGUGGGAAAGGAUGUGAGAUUUCUAAGACAACUAGGAUGUUGGGCUUAGAAGCAGCCAUUCAUUAAAAGAGUGCGUAAUAGCUCACUAGUCGAGAGAUCUUGCGCCGAAAAUGUAACGGGGCUAAACUUACCACCGAAGCUACGGGCUUGAACUUAGUUCAAGCGGUAGGAGAGCGUCGUAACCGGGCUGAAGUCGUACCGUAAGGAGCGGUGGACUGGUUACGAGUGAGAAUGUUGGCAUCAGUAGCGAGAUGUGGGGGAGAAUCCCACAGGCCGAAAACCUAAGGUUUCCUCAGGAAGGUUCGUCCGCUGAGGGUUAGUCGGGACCUAAGCCGAGGCCGAAAGGCGUAGGUGAUGGACAACUGGUUGAUAUUCCAGUACCACUACCAUCGUUAUUAUCGAUGGCGUGACGCAGGAGGAUAGUGUGUGCUAGCUAUUGGAUGCUAGUCUAAGCGUUUAGGCAGUGAG
RNAcentral lists this ribosomal RNA (628 nucleotides) under Clostridium perfringens. RNAcentral's name for it is "bacterial LSU rRNA". It matches the Rfam family "Bacterial large subunit ribosomal RNA", at positions 902 to 1531 of the family's 2925-position model. Lineage: Bacteria; Bacillati; Bacillota; Clostridia; Eubacteriales; Clostridiaceae. The record is from RNAcentral.